RNAcentral lists this ribosomal RNA (331 nucleotides) under uncultured Rikenellaceae bacterium. Its description in RNAcentral is "bacterial SSU rRNA". It matches the Rfam family "Bacterial small subunit ribosomal RNA", at positions 1054 to 1382 of the family's 1533-position model. The record is from RNAcentral. Lineage: Bacteria; Pseudomonadati; Bacteroidota; Bacteroidia; Bacteroidales; Rikenellaceae.
GUCAGCUCGUGCCGUGAGGUGUCGGGGUUAAGUCCCAUAACGAGCGCAAACCCCCUACUGCUAGUUGCCAGCGGGUCAUGCCGGGGACUCUAGCGGAACUGCCAGCGUAAGCUGCGAGGAAGGUGGGGAUGACGUCAAAUCAGCACGGCCCUUACGUCCAGGGCUACACACGUGUUACAAUGGCCAGUACAGAGGGCAGCCACCCCGCGAGGGGGCGCUAAUCCUAAAAGCUGGUCCCAGUUCGGAUCGGAGUCUGCAACCCGACUCCGUGAAGCUGGAUUCGCUAGUAAUCGCGCAUCAGCCACGGCGCGGUGAAUACGUUCCGGGCCUU